RNAcentral lists this ribosomal RNA (468 nucleotides) under uncultured bacterium. RNAcentral describes it as "partial 16S ribosomal RNA". It matches the Rfam family "Bacterial small subunit ribosomal RNA", at positions 28 to 507 of the family's 1533-position model. The record is from RNAcentral.
GACGAACGCUGGCGGCGUGCUUAACACAUGCAAGUCGAACGGAAAGACCCUGCUUUUGUGGGGUGCUCGAGUGGCGAACGGGUGAGUAACACGUGAGUAACCUGCCCUUGACUUUGGGAUAACUUCAGGAAACUGGGGCUAAUACCGGAUAGGAGCUCCUGCUGCAUGGUGGGGGUUGGAAAGUUUCGGCGGUUGGGGAUGGACUCGCGGCUUAUCAGCUUGUUGGUGGGGUAGUGGCUUACCAAGGCUUUGACGGGUAGCCGGCCUGAGAGGGUGACCGGCCACAUUGGGACUGAGGUACGGCCCAGACUACUACGGGAGGCAGCAGUGGGGAAUAUUGCACAAUGGGCGGAAGCCUGAUGCAGCAACGCCGCGUGCGGGAUGACGGCCUUCGGGUUGUAAACCGCUUUCGCCUGUGACGAAGCGUGAGUGACGGUAAUGGGUAAAGAAGCACCGGCUAACUACGUG